UACAUGGGGUGCAAACGUUGCUCGGAAUCAUUGGGCGUAAAGCGCGCGUAGGCGGUUACUUAUGUCGGAUGUGAAAGCCCUCGGCUUAACCGAGGAAGUGCAUCCGAAACUGAGUAGCUAGAGUACUAAAGAGGGUCGCGGAAUUCCCGGUGUAGAGGUGAAAUUCGUAGAUAUCGGGAGGAACACCGGUGGCGAAGGCGGCGACCUGGGUAGAGACUGACGCUGAGGCGCGAAAGCGUGGGGAGCAAACAGG
RNAcentral lists this ribosomal RNA (253 nucleotides) under uncultured bacterium. RNAcentral describes it as "partial 16S ribosomal RNA". It matches the Rfam family "Bacterial small subunit ribosomal RNA", at positions 524 to 776 of the family's 1533-position model. The record is from RNAcentral.